RNAcentral lists this ribosomal RNA (359 nucleotides) under uncultured bacterium. RNAcentral describes it as "partial 16S ribosomal RNA". It matches the Rfam family "Bacterial small subunit ribosomal RNA", at positions 338 to 694 of the family's 1533-position model. The record is from RNAcentral.
CCUACGGGUGGCAGCAGUGAGGAAUAUUGGUCAAUGGGCGGAAGCCUGAACCAGCCAAGUAGCGUGCAGGAUGACGGCCCUACGGGUUGUAAACUGCUUUUAUACGGGAAUAACGCGCCUUACGUGUAGGGCUUUGCAUGUACCGUAUGAAUAAGGACCGGCUAAUUCCGUGCCAGCAGCCGCGGUAAUACGGAAGGUCCGGGCGUUAUCCGGCUUUAUUGGGUUUAAAGGGAGCGUAGGCCGCAGGUCAAGCGUGCUGUGAAAUGUCCGGGCUCAACCCGGGCCUUGCCGCGCGAUCUGGGGGGCUGGAGUACGGGAAAGGCGGGCGGACUGCGUGGUGUGGCGGUGAAAUGCUUAGA